RNAcentral lists this long non-coding RNA (277 nucleotides) under Salvia miltiorrhiza (redroot sage). Its description in RNAcentral is "long non-coding RNA (SMIL_LNC009896)". Lineage: Eukaryota; Viridiplantae; Streptophyta; Magnoliopsida; Lamiales; Lamiaceae. The record is from RNAcentral.
GCUCGUCUUCCCACAGGAAAUCGACCAAGCCCAAAGUCGUGAUGUAGAACAUCAUCUUGUGCUGCCACAUUUUGAAGUGUGACCCACCAAACUUAGGUGGCUUUUCGGCUAUUGCAUUUGCCCUCGGGGGCUGCAUUGGCACCGAUCCCGCCAUGUUGCCAUAGCUCACCACGUUGGUCCCGAAGGCCCCAACCGUUCGUCCAAAAGUGGACCCCAUGGAACCACUCGAAGUGGAACCAAUCGUUGACCCAAACGAGGUUUGGCCAACCGUUCCUUG